Molecule: transfer RNA, 68 nt
Filed under: Marmota monax (woodchuck)
Lineage: Eukaryota; Metazoa; Chordata; Mammalia; Rodentia; Sciuridae
Description: tRNA.Asp
Source: RNAcentral
GGCUUGUAGCUCAGUGGCAGAGCAUUUGCCUAUCAUGUAUGAGGCACUGGCUUCAAUCCUCAGUACCA